UUUAAUAUUCUCAUUGAUCGAAAAAUAAAUAAUGUUCUAAUCUAAAAAAUCGUGAUUCUUCUUUAAUUUGAGUGAAUUAAAGAAGAUGUGCGGGGGUUUUACUUGCUCGAAGAACGCUUUGAUAGCGUUAAACGCUUUGUAUUUGGUUGUAGCUUCAGUUUUGAUUAGCGUAGCUGUUUAUGGUCGGGCGGCUUCAAUCGUAACUAAUCUACCCAUAAUCGGUGGAAUAUUGGCAUGUGGAAUCAUACUGAUCAUAAUUUCGUUAUUGGGGCUGGUCGGGGCUGUAAAACAUCAUCAAGUUAUGCUGUUCUUUUACAUGUUAAUUUUAUUCAUGUUAUUUUUGAUCCAAUUCUCUGUGGCUUGUGCUUGUCUUGGGGUAAACAUGCAGCAACAAGAACAACUUGCUGAACAAGGUUGGGGGAGGGUUAAUAACGAAACGAAAGCUGAAGUUCAAAGGGUUUUUACAUGUUGUGGGUUUAGCGAUCGAUUUUCACAGGCUGAUAAAAAGAUGGGGUAUCCAGAUUGCGAUAAAAUAAAAGAAAAAUGUUGUGGAAAGCUUCAAGUUGAUCCGAAUUGUACAUGUUAUUGUAUUGAUAAAUUACAAAAUACCAUUGAUUAUGCUUUUAAAUUAUGUGGAUGGGUUGGACUUUUCUUUAGUUUCACUGAGUUUUUGGGUGUAUGGUUGACGAUAAGGUAUCGCAAUCAAAAAGACCCUCGUGGAAAUCCUAGCGCUUUCCUCUAGUCACAUGAACGCUUUGUGUUAACAUAAAAAGAAAAAAAAGAUAUAAGAAACCUCUUUUGGAUUGUCGGUGUGGUUUUAACGAAAAGAUAUCGGAAUCAAUACGAUCCUGAAGAAAAAUUAGCAACGGCCGUUUUUC
RNAcentral lists this unclassified non-coding RNA (878 nucleotides) under Onthophagus taurus. Its description in RNAcentral is "tetraspanin-31-B, transcript variant X2". Lineage: Eukaryota; Metazoa; Arthropoda; Insecta; Coleoptera; Scarabaeidae. The record is from RNAcentral.